This is a long non-coding RNA of Hipposideros armiger (great roundleaf bat), 1431 nucleotides long. RefSeq lists it as uncharacterized. The transcript is spliced from 3 exons. The record is from RefSeq and is a predicted model, not a curated record. Lineage: Eukaryota; Metazoa; Chordata; Mammalia; Chiroptera; Hipposideridae.
AGCGUUGCUGGUGAAUAAAAAGGAGAGAGGAGGCGCCUCUUACUGCUCUGCCGGAAAACUGCAGCCUGCGCUCCUGAUUGGACUCACCGAGCCCUAAACAAACAGCGCUCGCCGAAGGGUGCCAGGCUGUGGGUCGGAACUGCGCUCUGCGAGCAGCUGGGCGCUGGAGGUUAUUCCCUGAGGUGCACAGGAUAGAAAAGGGCUUCCACUCCAGUCGCGCCCGCUGAUGCUUUCCGAGUUUGGGUGUCCCGUUUGCUCUGAGCUUUUCCUGGAGAACUUCAGGUAAGUCUCAGAUUAAGUCGCUGAAACGAGGGGGGGGGGGUCACCUUCUCUGGACCCAGCGCGAAAUACCGCUUCCCACCCCCACCCUCACAUACACACCCCUUCUUCGCUCCCUCCAAAUGGUUAUCACAACUGUGUACAAACUGAUACGGCCCUUAGCCGGCAAAGGGACUGAAAAUAAACGUCGCGGGGUUAUCAGCGCCGAUCUGUCAUCAGCGACUCGCGCGGCCACAGGUUUGUCCGCAGCAGGAGCCCUGAUAUUAGGUCUCGCUCCCUUUCUCUCACAAAGGGGACUUCUUCCGACAGAUGUGACCCCAGAAGGCUGGCGAGAGAGAAUUUUAACUAGGGCAGGAGGAGUUCUUUUGUGGGAAUGGAUUUUUACACUUUUUUUCCCCAGGUAAAUCGAAGUAAAUGAUUUUCUAAAGUUUCAGUGUGGUGGCAUUACGGAAAGACUGAAGGCAGAAAACUCUGGAACGGAGACUGGCGACUGGAGCUGGAUCCAGGAGCUUAAAAAUUUAACCCGAGUUCGAUCGAGUGGGACAACCAGAAGAGAGCCGGGAGUCAACAGUCUGCUUAACUCCGACCAGGGCUUCGAAUGCCUUUCUUUUGGUUUUUACGUGAGUCCCAGCCAAAUUUUUAAAUAGACUGCGUUUUGCAGAAGCUCCUUUGUAAGUAGCUAUUUCUGUAAAGAAAUGUUUGGUUUCCUUUGAGUCCAGCUGUUUCUCAGGUUUGCUCUUAAAAACAAAGUUUCCUUUUUUAAAUUCAAAUCUCAGUGAGAUGAUUUCUAAUAAAGGUGUGCUAACAAAUAAAUCCUUUGGCUAUGUUAGAGUCCAGGCUGUGAAGGCCCCCAAGCCUGAGAUACAAGGAGACACAGCCUGCCGCGCCCCUAAUUCCUACUGUGUGUUUCUUUAUAUGUAUUUGCAAGUACGGGGUGGCUGGGGGGUGCCCGUGUGAAUUUCCUUGGACAUUAGCUAACCCCCAAGGACCCGCUUUUCCCCGAAUCUCCACAGCAACAGUGAGAUGGGUGCAUUGGCCCCGCUGCAGAGGUGAGAGGUGGAACAGUGACCGAAGUCCCCAACGUGAGGGUCCUAAGGGCUCAAAAAAGGACCCGACAUUUUACCCUCCAGAUUCCCAAUCUCUUUUUAACAU